AGAUAAUUAGCCAUUCAAUAUAUAUGUAUGUUUUGUUAGUUCUAUUAUUAAAUUAGUAAUAAAAAAAUAUGCUAACAAUUUAAUAGAAAAGGAAAAUAAUAAUAUUUUCUAUAGCCUUUGUUGCUUAAUGCUAGGUUGACAAAUUAGAUGAAAGAGAGUAAAUACUGUGUGAAGAUAGAACGAGAGGGAGAGCCUUCUACCAUUCAAUAGCAAAAAGCGCCUUCUACCAUUCAAGAGGAAAAAGAUAGAUGAAAUGACAAAUUGAACAGAGAUUGACGUUUUUCUCACUCUUUUCCUUCUUUCCAAUAAGUUUGGACGUAAGCUUUUAAAAAAAUUUUAAGUUUCGAUCAUUUUAGACCAAAAAAGAAGCUAGCCGUGUCCCCCCCGUAUUCCCCCGUAUCCCUCACGUAUCCGAGCCGUAUCCGAGCCGUAUCCGAUAUUUUUUAAUUUUUUAAAAUUGCCGGAUACUUCAUUCCCGUAUCGGACACGUAUCGGGCGUGUAUCGGUAUCCGAUACGUAUCCGAUACGGGUACGGC
Molecule: long non-coding RNA, 536 nt
Filed under: Ananas comosus (pineapple)
Lineage: Eukaryota; Viridiplantae; Streptophyta; Magnoliopsida; Poales; Bromeliaceae
Description: long non-coding RNA (ACOM_LNC039522)
Source: RNAcentral